CGUGUAGGCGGCUUAACAAGUCAGAUGUGAAAUCCCUGGGCUUAACCCAGGAAGUGCAUUUGAAACUGUUUGGCUUGAGUAAGGGAGAGGAAAGUGGAAUUCCUGGUGUAGAGGUGAAAUUCGUAGAUAUCAGGAGGAACACCGGUGGCGAAGGCGACUUUCUGGCCCUAUACUGACGCUGAGACGCGAAAGCGUGGGUAGCAAACA
RNAcentral lists this ribosomal RNA (207 nucleotides) under uncultured Syntrophaceae bacterium. RNAcentral describes it as "partial 16S ribosomal RNA". It matches the Rfam family "Bacterial small subunit ribosomal RNA", at positions 568 to 774 of the family's 1533-position model. The record is from RNAcentral. Lineage: Bacteria; Pseudomonadati; Thermodesulfobacteriota; Syntrophia; Syntrophales; Syntrophaceae.